RNAcentral lists this ribosomal RNA (253 nucleotides) under uncultured bacterium. RNAcentral describes it as "partial 16S ribosomal RNA". It matches the Rfam family "Bacterial small subunit ribosomal RNA", at positions 524 to 776 of the family's 1533-position model. The record is from RNAcentral.
UACGUAGGUGGCAAGCGUUAUCCGGAUUUAUUGGGCGUAAAGCGAGCGCAGGCGGUUGCUUAGGUCUAAUGUGAAAGCCUUCGGCUUAACCGAAGAAGUGCAUCGGAAACCGGGCGACUUGAGUGCAGAAGAGGACAGUGGAACUCCAUGUGUAGCGGUGGAAUGCGUAGAUAUAUGGAAGAACACCAGUGGCGAAGGCGGCUGUCUGGUCUGCAACUGACGCUGAGGCUCGAAAGCAUGGGUAGCGAACAGG